Molecule: ribosomal RNA, 446 nt
Filed under: uncultured bacterium
Lineage: Bacteria
Description: partial 16S ribosomal RNA
Rfam family: Bacterial small subunit ribosomal RNA
Source: RNAcentral
CCUACGGGUGGCUGCAGUCGAGAAUCAUUCACAAUGGGGGAAACCCUGAUGGUGCGACGCCGCGUGGGGGAAUGAAGGUCUUCGGAUUGUAAACCCCUGUCAUGUGGGAGCAAAUUAAAAAGAUAGUACCACAAGAGGAAGAGACGGCUAACUCUGUGCCAGCAGCCGCGGUAAUACAGAGGUCUCAAGCGUUGUUCGGAAUCACUGGGCGUAAGGCGUGCGGAGGCUGUUUCGUAAGUCGUGUGUGAAAGGCGCGGGCUCAACCCGCGGACGGCCCAUGAUAAUGCGAGACUAGAGUAAUGGAGGGGGAACCGGAAUUCUCGGUGUAGCAGUGAAAUGCGUAGAUAUCGAGAGGAACACUCGUGGCGAAGGCGGGUUCCUGGACAUUAACUGACGCUGAGGCACGAAGGCCAGGGGAGCGAAAGGGAUUAGAUACCCGAGUAGUC